UAUUUGCAGGAGUCAUACAUUGGACAGUCACCCUAAACGCGAUUUAACUCCGGCAAGCUAACUGCAUUUCGCUGCUUGCCACACGGCGGGCAGCAAUCCCUUC
Molecule: non-coding RNA, 103 nt
Filed under: Pantoea ananatis
Lineage: Bacteria; Pseudomonadati; Pseudomonadota; Gammaproteobacteria; Enterobacterales; Erwiniaceae
Description: Salmonella mgtC leader RNA
Rfam family: Salmonella mgtC leader RNA
Source: RNAcentral